CGGGUGAGUAACACGUGGGUGAUCUGCCCUGCACUCUGGGAUAAGCCUGGGAAACUGGGUCUAAUACCGGAUAGGACCGCACUUUAGUGUGUGUGGUGGAAAGUUUUUUCGGUGUAGGAUGAGCCCGCGGCCUAUCAGCUUGUUGGUGGGGUAAUGGCCUACCAAGGCGGCGACGGGUAGCCGGACUGAGAGGUUGGUCGGCCACAUUGGGACUGAGAUACGGCCCAG
Molecule: ribosomal RNA, 228 nt
Filed under: uncultured Actinomycetales bacterium
Lineage: Bacteria; Bacillati; Actinomycetota; Actinomycetes; Actinomycetales
Description: partial 16S ribosomal RNA
Rfam family: Bacterial small subunit ribosomal RNA
Source: RNAcentral